CUCUGUGACUGGCUUGCUUGAUAGUUAGGGUCUGAUUGCUGCCUGAGACACCAUAUCGGUACUCCUCAGAGUUGAAUCAGAGGUGGGGAGAGUGGUGGAAGGGCCUGUGGACUUACGGAUGCUGCUGCGACACUCUAUGACCUCAGACUGCAAGUAAGAGCCAAUCCCGAAGCGGUUUGUUGCAGCCACACGGAACACAUACUCAUUUCCUUCAAUGCUGGAGGACCAGGUUUAUCUGAAAGAAUAAGGAAGAAGAGUGAAGUAUUUCACUAAAAUAUGUGGAAUGGGGAAUGAGUAUAGAGUAGAGGUCUGGAGACCUGGGCUGCAGUCUUUCUAUUGCCAAUUUCCUAUAUGACCUAGGAGGUGUAUAUUUAAUUUUUUAUUAGGAAAAAUGACCAUCAUGAAUGCUGUUACAUCUUUGCCUAUAAUACUCAGCAGAAUCUUACCAUUUUCUGCGAGGAUAGUCACUGGAUCAGAAGGUUCAGAAGGAACACCUGGAGAUGAAGACAAGGAAAAUGUCAGUUUCUACAUUAAGUAACAAACUAGAAAGAAAACAUAACUUUUUUUCUCCUUCACAAAAACAUACCAAAUGGGAACUGCGCAACCAUCUUUGGAGAUGUGAGAGGCUCUGAAAUGCCAAAUCGGUUUUCAGCACGGACCCGGAAGAUGUACUCCUGGCCUGGGAUGAGCUUUCCAACCCUGCAGGAAGUUUUUGUGACUGAAGCUAGAGCCGU
RNAcentral lists this non-coding RNA (734 nucleotides) under Pongo abelii (Sumatran orangutan). The record is from RNAcentral. Lineage: Eukaryota; Metazoa; Chordata; Mammalia; Primates; Hominidae.